Molecule: non-coding RNA, 112 nt
Filed under: Arcanobacterium sp.
Lineage: Bacteria; Bacillati; Actinomycetota; Actinomycetes; Actinomycetales; Actinomycetaceae
Also listed under: 1 other name
Description: SAM-I sequence
Rfam family: SAM riboswitch aptamer (S box leader)
About the family: The SAM riboswitch is found upstream of a number of genes which code for proteins involved in methionine or cysteine biosynthesis in Gram-positive bacteria. The SAM riboswitch acts at the level of transcription termination control. The predicted structure consists of a complex stem-loop region followed by a single stem loop terminator region.
Source: RNAcentral
UGUUCAUCAAGAGCAGCCGAGAGACUUGGCUCAGUGACGCUGCAGCCACCUACGGAAGCGGAAACCGAAAGGCAGCCGCCCGUAAAGGUGCUAAGGCCAAGACCGAUGAGAU